Non-coding RNA from Paramuricea clavata, 312 nucleotides. Lineage: Eukaryota; Metazoa; Cnidaria; Anthozoa; Malacalcyonacea; Plexauridae. The record is from the annotation of a GenBank genome assembly.
UAAACAUGCUAUUGUGUAAUGGAAAUGAUCAAAUAAAGUUAUUUCUGCAACAGCCCUUGCAUUCAAACACCUUAUUUGUAUUUUUCUUGUUCAUGCUUGAGCAUCAGCCUCAGGAUAAGCAAAUUCCAUUGGAUUUGUGAGGGCACUUGAACUAUAUAUUGGGUCAUUACAUGAAUAAGUGGAAUAACAGAAAAUAUUCAGACUCCCACAGCCUGUACUACAAGUUACAGCUGUGACAGUGUAGAGGGGGGAUCCACAAGUAAAAUGUGCUGGAAUAUCCAAGGGGGGGGGGGGGUGAUACAAAUAAAAAAA